GAUGAACGCUGGCGGCGUGCCUAAUACAUGCAAGUCGAGCGAACAGACGAGGAGCUUGCUCCUCUGACGUUAGCGGCGGACGGGUGAGUAACACGUGGAUAACCUACCUAUAAGACUGGGAUAACUUCGGGAAACCGGAGCUAAUACCGGAUAAUAUAUUGAACCGCAUGGUUCAAUAGUGAAAGACGGUUUUGCUGUCACUUAUAGAUGGAUCCGCGCCGCAUUAGCUAGUUGGUAAGGUAACGGCUUACCAAGGCAACGAUGCGUAGCCGACCUGAGAGGGUGAUCGGCCACACUGGAGCUGAGACACGGUCCAGACUCCUACGGGAGGCAGCAGUAGGGACUCUUCCGCAAUGGGCGAAAGCCUGACGGAGCAACGCCGCGUGAGUGAUGAAGGUCUUCGGAUCGUAAAACUCUGUUAUUAGGGAAGAACAAAUGUGUAAGUAACUAUGCACGUCUUGACGGUACCUAAUCAGAAAGCCACGGCUAACUACGUG
Molecule: ribosomal RNA, 497 nt
Filed under: uncultured bacterium
Lineage: Bacteria
Description: partial 16S ribosomal RNA
Rfam family: Bacterial small subunit ribosomal RNA
Source: RNAcentral